RNAcentral lists this ribosomal RNA (447 nucleotides) under uncultured bacterium. Its description in RNAcentral is "partial 16S ribosomal RNA". It matches the Rfam family "Bacterial small subunit ribosomal RNA", at positions 29 to 523 of the family's 1533-position model. The record is from RNAcentral.
AACGAACGCUGGCGGCAGGUCUAACACAUGCAAGUCGAACGCUCCGCAAGGGGAGUGGCGCACGGGUGAGUAACGCGUGGGAAUCUACCUAUUAGUAAGGAAUAACAGUUGGAAACGACUGCUAAUACCUUAUAUGCCCUACGGGGGAAAGAUUUAUAGCUAAUAGAUGAGCCCGCGUAAGAUUAGCUAGUUGGUGAGGUAAUGGCUCAGCAAGGCUACGAUCUUUAGCUGGCCUGAGAGGAUGAUCAGCCACACUGGAACUGAGACACGGUCCAGACUGCUACGGGAGGCAGCAGUGGGGAAUAUUGGACAAUGGGCGAAAGCCUGAUCCAGCCAUGCCGCGUGAAUGAUGAAGGCCUUAGGGUUGUACAGUUCUUUCGCCGCCGAGGAUAAUGACGGUAAGCGGAUAAGAAGCCCCGGCUAACUUCGUGCCAGCCGCCGCAGUAA